RNAcentral lists this unclassified non-coding RNA (622 nucleotides) under Hevea brasiliensis (rubber tree). The record is from RNAcentral. Lineage: Eukaryota; Viridiplantae; Streptophyta; Magnoliopsida; Malpighiales; Euphorbiaceae.
UCAGCUGCAACUUAACCCACUGAUCCUUCGAGCUUCAAGCUCAUCAGUUGGUUCACCUCAGCACCAAAUUCAUCAGGAAGUUCAUUGAAGACAUCCUGACAGAACCCAGAAAUCAUAGCAGCCAUGGCCUUUUCAUAGUCAAUUCCCCUCUGCUGAAAGUAAAAUAGUUGAUCUUCACCAAUUUUAGAGGUGCUGGCUUCAUGUUCGACACGAGCUGUUGGGUUCUUCACCUGUUGAACAACAAGAUUAGAACAUUACGCAACAAUGUAGAAUGCCAUGUGAAUUUCCAAGUUUCGAGAUCUGGCUAUUGAGACACGCAACUAAAGUGAAAAUGUGACAAAUCUACCAGAGAAAACCAGCAUACAAUCAUUGGGAUUUACAUUCUAAUUAUCUCAAAGUGUUGACCACAAAGUUACAUGACACACUGAUUGGGGGUUCCAUGGUCACCUGGACGUGCUAACCCUCAGAACAUGGCAUGGGAACGAGGACAUAGUACAACACUUAAUUAAAUAUAGUGACGUAGGGUAAGCUUAGUUAGUAUGCCAAAUUAAAUCAUGGUACCCAAAUUAUAUUUAUCCAUUAAGUGAAUUAUAUUUUUGUGGUACUUCUUCUUCUUCUUCUU